UGACCAAGGGGGAGUCCUGUGGUGGCGUC
RNAcentral lists this non-coding RNA (29 nucleotides) under Macaca fascicularis (crab-eating macaque). RNAcentral also lists the same sequence under 1 other name. The record is from RNAcentral. Lineage: Eukaryota; Metazoa; Chordata; Mammalia; Primates; Cercopithecidae.